GACGAACGCUGGCGGCGUGCUUAACACAUGCAAGUCGAACGGUGAUGCUCCAGCUUGCUGGAGUGGAUCAGUGGCGAACGGGUGAGUAACACGUGAGCAACCUGCCCCAGACUCCGGAAUAAGCGCUGGAAACGGCGUCUAAUACUGGAUACGAAACUGGCCCGCAUGGGCAUGGUUUGGAAAGUUUUUCGGUUUGGGAUGGGCUCGCGGCCUAUCAGCUUGUUGGUGAGGUAAUGGCUCACCAAGGCGACGACGGGUAGCCGGCCUGAGAGGGCGACCGGCCACACUGGGACUGAGACACGGCCCAGACUCCUACGGGAGGCAGCAGUGGGGAAUAUUGCACAAUGGGCGAAAGCCUGAUGCAGCGACGCCGCGUGAGGGAUGACGGCCUUCGGGUUGUAAACCUCUUUCAGCAGGGAAGAAGCGAAAGUGACGGUACCUGCAGAAGAAGCACCGGCUAACUACGUG
RNAcentral lists this ribosomal RNA (468 nucleotides) under uncultured bacterium. RNAcentral's name for it is "partial 16S ribosomal RNA". It matches the Rfam family "Bacterial small subunit ribosomal RNA", at positions 28 to 507 of the family's 1533-position model. The record is from RNAcentral.